GCACUGAAUGGAUGUUAAUUCUAUUCUUAUUUAUUAUUUUAGUAAAUACUUUUAAGUCCGCCUUCAAAAAUAUGUUAAAUCUAUUAUCCGAAUAAAAAUUUUAUUGUAACUCACCUCAAUUACUUACCCAUUGGCUGCACUUUGAUUUGUAAUUACCCUAUGAUAAAGAGUGGAAUCUAUCUUAAGAUAAAUUCUAGACAACGGUAUACAAGCUCUAAAGAUAAGUUGCAUUUACUUGGUGGCUGUCAAUUACAUGGUAAGUUCCCCUAAAAUACUUCAUUCAGCCGCCAUAAUAUUUAAGUUUGGACCACAUAUUAAGUAUUAAUCCUUGUUUAUUUAAAUUUAAUUUCCAUAUAAUUGGGUAUCUAAUCCAGGUUUACCUUUGGGAGUUUAGUACACAAGUAAAUAUAAUAUAAACUGUCAACAAUAAUAGUAUUUCACUACAUAUUUAUAUUUUGUAUAUAACUAAUAAACAAUAACUAUAAAUUAGCCUAUUAGGUUUGACCGCGGUUGCUGGCACCUAAUAAACCUAGACUAAAAAAUUAGCUAAAUUUAAAUUUCCUUAAUUUAUUAAUAUCUUUAACUGAGUAUUUAUUUAAAGCUCAUAUUAAACUAGACUGUAUAUUUAUAGCUUUCAUCAUAUUAAAGUGAUUUACUCUAAGGGGGCGUGUAGCCAUUUUAGA
This 683-nucleotide ribosomal RNA is filed under the name Montenegrina sturanyana sturanyana. RNAcentral's name for it is "partial 12S ribosomal RNA". The record is from RNAcentral. Lineage: Eukaryota; Metazoa; Mollusca; Gastropoda; Stylommatophora; Clausiliidae.